Molecule: ribosomal RNA, 482 nt
Filed under: uncultured bacterium
Lineage: Bacteria
Description: bacterial SSU rRNA
Rfam family: Bacterial small subunit ribosomal RNA
Source: RNAcentral
AACUAACGCUGGCGGCGUGCCUAACACAUGCAAGUCGAACGGUAACAGGUCUUCGGAUGCUGACGAGUGGCGAACGGGUGAGUAAUACAUCGGAACGUGCCCGAUCGUGGGGGAUAACGGAGCGAAAGCUUUGCUAAUACCGCAUACGAUCUACGGAUGAAAGCAGGGGACCGCAAGGCCUUGCGCGGACGGAGCGGCCGAUGGCAGAUUAGGUAGUUGGUGGGAUAAAAGCUUACCAAGCCGACGAUCUGUAGCUGGUCUGAGAGGACGACCAGCCACACUGGGACUGAGACACGGCCCAGACUCCUACGGGAGGCAGCAGUGGGGAAUUUUGGACAAUGGGCGCAAGCCUGAUCCAGCCAUGCCGCGUGCAGGAUGAAGGCCUUCGGGUUGUAAACUGCUUUUGUACGGAACGAAACGGCGAGCUCUAAUACAGUUUGCUAAUGACGGUACCGUAAGAAUAAGCACCGGCUAACUACGUG